RNAcentral lists this small RNA (916 nucleotides) under Rattus norvegicus (Norway rat). RNAcentral's name for it is "uncharacterized LOC108351283". The record is from RNAcentral. Lineage: Eukaryota; Metazoa; Chordata; Mammalia; Rodentia; Muridae.
UGACUUCUUCCUUUAGAUAGCCCUUCUCCCAGUCACUCAGGGUCAACACCUCUGUCUCCUGAAUGGGAUAUGUGUUGGCCUGGAGCUCCGUAAUAAACCUCGCCUCUGUUUAUUACGUCAAGAUUAGUCUCUCGUGUGUCUGGGAUCCGAGACUUCCGGAGACUUGAGUGAGGGUCUCCCUUCGGGGAUCUUUGAGCACCAUUCCCUGGGUUGGCCUGUAGCAUGAAAUAAUAUAGACCAUCUCAUGGUAUACACCUCUAGAACAUUGACUAAUACAUCAAGCUAUGACUGACAAGAUAAGCCAGUGAAAAAUACCAAAGACCGAAGUACAGCAGUGUCCUCAAACUUCCAUAAGACAGAAUGAUAUAUAUUUAUUUUAUCCUUUAUUAUUGGACUGCAGUGAUCAAACCCAGCGCCUUGUACAUACAAGGCUGACAUUCUUUCACUGUCACUGAUGUACUGCCUCAGCCUCAAGAGACUAACACAGUAUACUGGAAUCAAUAAGGCAAAUAAAAAAAUGGAAUGAAAAACAUAGUCCUGUAUUGAAGAAAACAAAAAAGAAGUUAUGCCAAAGCAAAGGCUGUUGGAAGUGGAUCAGCACAUCUCUCUUCUCAAAGCUUCACUGGAUCUGCCAUCCAAAGCCAGGACUCUUCUCCAGCCUAGACUCACCACCAAGCAUCAUGCAUGUCUCUGUCCUUUCCUGAUUGACCUGUUUCAUGACUUUGCAUGGCCUUCCCCAAAGACUGCAGCAGUGCAAUCCAUCCUAGGAGACCUGAAUCCCUCUUCUGACCUCCAUGGACAGUGCAAGAAUGUGGUGCACGGGCAAAUCAUCCACAGACCUCAAGCCAGGCCUAGUGGCUCAUUUUUCGCUGCUUGCCAAUCCAAAUCUAGUCUCAGCUCCUUCUGCAGCACCAUG